UAGUGUGGGGAACAUGCCUCUGUCAGGACAAGAAUGUUUCUUUGUUUUACGAGUAUCAUUUAUGACCGUGGCCUUCAAUGUAGAGAAAAGUGUCUUUUUUUAUGGUAGUAGUGAAUGCAUCUAGGAAGCAGUAAGAGGCCAAUCAAGGUCUCAACAGAUGCUUCCACUGUGGUAGAGUAGAAGGGUUGCUACUAGCAGAAUGACUGCUCUUUAUGUCAUCCUGCUCAGCUGCUGAUAAAGAAGGGGAGAUGGGGAAAACAUGGGAAAAUUUCAGCUAAAUGGUGAAGAAAAAUGAUAGUGCUCCAGUGCUGUAAAGGAGACAUAGCUGUAAAAAUAAAGAAGGACUUAUCAGACCAUCUGUGUUCUUCCUGUUUGCACAGGUCGCAAGUGCUCAAAUUGUUCCCAGUUUACAUGCUCCUAUGCAAAUAUGCAGAUAAAGCAGGAUCAAAGGAUUUUGCCUUGCACUUAAAACAGAAGCCUUACACGGGGCACUGGGAGUGCAGAAGGAGUAUGCCCUGGAUGCCAGCCAAAUGAAAGAAGACAGCUGAGAGGGCUGCUGUUUUGCUUGUGCUUCAGAAUGGACCCACCACAGAGAAGUAAAUUGAGAAUAAAGAAAUGUGUCUUAUCUCAAGAUGAUAUGAAAAAGACUUCUGAAGUUAUCUUAAGGUUAUAGAUGGAAAAGCUUUGAAAAUACUGAGCAAGGCUCCUGCUUGCACCAGGUGAUGUAUUGCUGCCCCAGGGCUACCUGGAAGUUUCUUCUUCGGAGUAUCUAUCCUGUUUGCAUAUCAACUGCUCUAGGAGAAACUCCUAAAAACCUAUAUAGGAGGCCAAUGUGAAUUUAAAGUC
Hirundo rustica (Barn swallow) is the source of this 846-nucleotide long non-coding RNA. RefSeq lists it as uncharacterized. The record is from RefSeq and is a predicted model, not a curated record. NCBI's taxonomy places the organism in Eukaryota, Metazoa, Chordata, Aves, Passeriformes, Hirundinidae. The transcript is spliced from 6 exons.